RNAcentral lists this long non-coding RNA (3254 nucleotides) under Sus scrofa (pig). Its description in RNAcentral is "lncRNA (ENSSSCG00000057373.1)". The record is from RNAcentral. Lineage: Eukaryota; Metazoa; Chordata; Mammalia; Artiodactyla; Suidae.
UAUCUCUCUUACAAAUGGGUCAUUCCUAUCCCCAUAAACAUUGUUCAGCAUUGUAGGGUGUCUUCCACUCUCACCCCCAUACCUCUUCUCAAGAUUACUCCCUGUGUCUUGGAAUCCAUUAGCUACUUAUCUUCUUUUAUUUACUUUAGUCAUUUAAGUUUAAUGUUUUACUACAUAUUUUGAGAUGAUCAUAUUUUUCCUCCACUUAAUAUCUCAACAUGAUAGAUGGUAGUAAAAAAUUCUUGCAUGUUCACUCAAUCUUGCAUUUCCAAUAUGAACCCUAUUCGAUCAUGUGGUACUUUUUAUAUAUUGUUGGAACCAGUUGUUAUAAUAUUUAACAUUUAGCAUGUAUAAUAUGCAAACAUUUUUAUUUUUAUAGUGUACAUUAAUGAAGUUUUCUGUAAAGAUAAACUAGUCUCAUAAAAAGGUACUCUUUGGAUAUGUUUUAUAACCAAAGAGUUUUUUGUCCCUUGAAAACUUGAUAAAAUCUGUGACAGCAAGUCUAAAAAUCUUUUGAUUAUCUAAGUUUUCAAAUUUACUGAUGUAAAGUUCUUCUGAGUAUACCUUCAUGGUUUAUUUGUUUCGUUCUUUAAUCAUAUCCCCUUUCUAUUAUUAAAAGUUUUAUUAGCAUCCUUUUUUCUUUAUCAGUCUUAUUUUAGGUUUGUCCAUUUUAUUAGCUUGUUUAAAAAAAAUCCUAUUUUUGCUUUUGUCAGUCAUUUAUGAUGUCUUUAUGUUCUGUUUUAUAUGUUUGCUUCUAUUUUAAUUUUUCUUCAUUUUACUUUUAUUGUUUUUCCUCUUUGAUUAUUUUUCAAACCUCUUGAAGUGAGUGCUUUGGUCUUAAAAUUCCAGUCUUUUUUUUUUUUUUUCUUACAUACAAUUUCAUAAAUUUCACUCUAAUCCUACUUUAGAUGUAUUACAAAUUUUGGUGAGUAGUGGUUCAAAGUCAUUCAAUUCUAAAUAGUUAAUUAUUUCCACAUUUUAUAUGAUCCAUGAAUUACUAUAAUUAUGCUUCAUAGUUUAAAAUCUGUGGAAUAUAUUAGCUGCCUUCAUGUGUUUGGUCAGAUUAUGUGAUCUUUAUAUAUGCUGUUACUUCCUUGUUUUUUUGUCAGAGUCAUUGAAAUAUUUAUGCAUUUUUCAUUUGAAAUUAAUAUGCAUCCACUUUUGGCAUAUGUUCUAAUAAAUGUCUCUUGCAUCCAGUUUGCAUAUGGUGUUCAAAUCUCCCACCGUCUUAUUAAUUGGGUUCUGAUUAAUCUUACAGUCUGCGUAGGAGGUUUUAGACUCACUCCAAGCUUCUCCACUUUCUUGUGCCAGUGAGAGUUCUCUAGUCUGUAUGGAAGCAAAAGCAUUUCAAACCCUGAGCUCUCAACAUUCUAAGUAUUGGCGAUAGUUGUACCAUAUUACAUAUCAUUCCUAAAGUGUUUGCAACAGGAAGGGAGCCUCUGGCAAUAGUUCAGUUCUCCAUCUUGUCAUAUCAAGAUAAUGUUUUUAGGAUUGCUAUCAAUCACGUAGCUCGCUUGUGUUAAACUUUCAGUGAGCUACCUAAUACGGUGAGGAGAAAAUCUUUUAAGGUCUACAUGAUCUGGCCCCAGCCUACCACUCUGGCCUUUGAACCACUUUCUUUGCUGUUACAGAGACAUUGGCUUUCUUUCUGUUUCACGAAUACAAUUAGCUGUCUCCACCUACAAUCAUUUAUAUUGAAGUUUCCUUAUAUCUGACAUGAACUUCUCCAGUCUUUUUAGUUCUUUUCUCAUGGAGAUCUCACCUCCAGUGUCAUAGGGUAGAACCAGCUACUAAUUUGGGAGGCACAAUGAAAAAUUGGUUCCCUUUUAUCAAAAGGCAAGAACAAAGUAUAAUUGAAGGUACUAAAAUAUAAAUAUUUCUUCUUUCUUCCAUACUCCCUCUCUCCGUUUGAAAUGGUAUGUUUAAAAAAUUUGUGUUUAAUAUCAUUCUAAGUAAAAAAAAAUAAAUUAUAAGAAAUUUUAACAUUCAUCUUUAUACUGUGAAAUACAAAAUUUGAAUGCAAGUAUAAGAGCAGUUAACUCCUAUGCAGAAUCACCAAAAUUACAUACUUAGUAUUUUGCAGAUCAUACAUACAUAUGUAUUUUGUUCAGACCACAACAGCAGAAAUGGAAAUGUUGCCAAUAACUCAGUGGUUUUCAUUUGACUUCUAGAUAUGCACAUAUUCGUGCAACAUUGUCUGCCUUGGCUUACUGACUAGUAAGCAAAGAUUGAAACGAGAAGGAGUGAUCUCUUCCUUUCUUUCCAUGUUAUCCUUUUCAGUGUUAGUAGUUGGCUAGUAUGACAAGACUCUUGGGUCAUCACUAGUUAGUAGAACAACGUCAUCUUCUUUCUGCAGAGAAAGGGGGCUGUCAGCAUCCUUUUAAACUGAGUGCCAUGUGUGACUUGCUUACCUUGAACUUUCACGCACUAUGGGUCCACCAGAAUUACAUGCUCGUGGGUCACCAUGAACAUGAUGGGUGACUGGGGCUACAAGGAAGGCUGUGCUCACAUUAUGCAUCCCUUCUUUGGUGAUGCACAUGUUCCAUGUCCCAUUAAGACUUCACUUAUGAAACCCAAGUCCAAAGGUAAAAUUCCUAAGAAUUUCAGUUUGGUGACAGGAAAGCAUUAAAUCCAGUACAAGGGUCUUCUGAAUUUGGACCCCAUGUGACUGCACAGGCAGCAUGCCCAUGAAGUUGGUCUGCCUCAGAAAGUCUUUCCUUAAAUAAGUAACCUAAAUUAAAUGUACCCACAGCUUGUUCUUCUAAAGCAUUCUGUUUUAUUUUUAUUAAUAUUUUUCAUUAUCUGAAAUCUUUUUUUUAAUUUGUUUGCUUUUCUGUUUUCUGCCUCUUCCUUCCUCCUCGCACUUCUAUAAUGGAAAAUUCAGAAGAUCAAGGGCUUUGUCUCACCUGUUUCCUAUUAAAUCAGGACUAUAUCUAGUGCAUAAGGCAUGCAAUUAACUUCUAUUAAAUGAAUAAUUCAGUUAAUGAAUUUGUCCAGCACUUAAAGAAAGGUAAACAUUUUUUGUUUAAAGUACAUUCAUUUAAAAUACUCUCUCACACAUUGUCUUUGACAUAGUUUUUAAUAUAAUCUCGUGAGAUUUUUAUAAGAUCAGGGCUUUUAAGGAUGAAUGGUAUUGUAGGAGUUAGAUUUUUCAGUAACCUAGGAGGUUAUCAACAUUUUUUUAUUAUUAUAAUUAAUACAAUGCAGUUUAACAAACAUUGAAAAUCUUAUAUGUAUAAGAUACUUGCAAAAGU